ACGAAAGUCUGACCGAGCGACGCCGUGUGCGGGAUGAAGGCCUUCGGGUUGUAAACCGCUGUCGUAGAGGAGGAAAUUGACCGGGGUUCUCCCCGGGUUAUUGACCUAUUCUAGGAGGAAGGACGGGCUAAGUUCGUGCCAGCAGCCGCGGUAAUACGAACCGUCCAAACGUUAUUCGGAAUCACUGGGCUUAAAGGGUACGUAGGCGGCGCUGUUAGUCGGGUGUGAAAUCCCUCGGCUCAACCGAGGAAUUGCGUCCGAUACUGCAGUGCUUGAGGGAGACAGAGGUAAGCGGAACUGAUGGUGGAGCGGUGAAAUGCGUUGAUAUCAUCAGGAACACCGGUGGCGAAAGCGGCUUACUGGGUCUCUUCUGACGCUGAGGUACGAAAGCUAGGGGAGCGAAGGGGAUUAGAUACCCCCGUAGUCCUAGCCGUAAACUCUGAGCACUUGAUCGUGGGCCCCCCCAUAGGCUCUCGGUCGUAGCGAAAGUGUUAAGUGCUCCGCCUGGGGAGUAUGGUCGCAAGGCUG
RNAcentral lists this ribosomal RNA (528 nucleotides) under uncultured Planctomycetota bacterium. RNAcentral's name for it is "bacterial SSU rRNA". It matches the Rfam family "Bacterial small subunit ribosomal RNA", at positions 375 to 896 of the family's 1533-position model. The record is from RNAcentral. Lineage: Bacteria; Pseudomonadati; Planctomycetota.